AUUUAUAUAGUUUAAACAAAACAUUACACUUUCACUGUAAAAAUAAAGAGAACUUUUAUAAAUA
Molecule: transfer RNA, 64 nt
Filed under: Duplidentitermes sp. TB-2014
Lineage: Eukaryota; Metazoa; Arthropoda; Insecta; Blattodea; Termitidae
Description: tRNA-Glu
Rfam family: tRNA
About the family: Transfer RNA (tRNA) molecules are approximately 80 nucleotides in length.
Source: RNAcentral